GGUGGGGUUCCCGAGCGGCCAAAGGGAUCAGACUGUAAAUCUGACGGCGGAGCCUUCGGAGGUUCGAAUCCUCCCCCCACCACCA
Molecule: transfer RNA, 85 nt
Filed under: Desulfatiferula olefinivorans
Lineage: Bacteria; Pseudomonadati; Thermodesulfobacteriota; Desulfobacteria; Desulfobacterales; Desulfobacteraceae
Also listed under: 2 other names
Description: tRNA-Tyr
Rfam family: tRNA
About the family: Transfer RNA (tRNA) molecules are approximately 80 nucleotides in length. Their secondary structure includes four short double-helical elements and three loops (D, anti-codon, and T loops). Further hydrogen bonds mediate the characteristic L-shaped molecular structure. tRNAs have two regions of fundamental functional importance: the anti-codon, which is responsible for specific mRNA codon recognition, and the 3' end, to which the tRNAs corresponding amino acid is attached (by aminoacyl-tRNA synthetases). tRNAs cope with the degeneracy of the genetic code in two manners: having more than one tRNA (with a specific anti-codon) for a particular amino acid; and 'wobble' base-pairing, i.e. permitting non-standard base-pairing at the 3rd anti-codon position.
Source: RNAcentral